Molecule: ribosomal RNA, 446 nt
Filed under: uncultured bacterium
Lineage: Bacteria
Description: partial 16S ribosomal RNA
Rfam family: Bacterial small subunit ribosomal RNA
Source: RNAcentral
CCUACGGGUGGCAGCAGUCGAGAAUCAUUCACAAUGGGGGAAACCCUGAUGGUGCGACGCCGCGUGGGGGAAUGAAGGUCUUCGGAUUGUAAACCCCUGUCAUGUGGGAGCAAAUUAAAAAGAUAGUACCACAAGAGGAAGAGACGGCUAACUCUGUGCCAGCGGCCGCGGUAAUACAGAGGUCUCAAGCGUUGUUCGGAAUCACUGGGCGUAAAGCGUGCGUAGGCUGUUUCGUAAGUCGUGUGUGAAAGGCGCGGGCUCAACCCGCGGACGGCACAUGAUACUGCGAGACUAGAGUAAGGGAGGGGGAACAGGAAUUCUCGGUGUAGCAGUGAAAUGCGUAGAUAUCGAGAGGAACACUCGUGGCGAAGGCGGGUUCCUGGACAUUAACUGACGCUGAGGCACGAAGGCCAGGGGAGCGAAAGGGAUUAGAUACCCUUGUAGUC